RNAcentral lists this ribosomal RNA (523 nucleotides) under uncultured bacterium. RNAcentral describes it as "bacterial SSU rRNA". It matches the Rfam family "Bacterial small subunit ribosomal RNA", at positions 8 to 526 of the family's 1533-position model. The record is from RNAcentral.
AGAGUUUGAUCAUGGCUCAGAUUGAACGCUGGCGGCAUGCCUUACACAUGCAAGUCGGACGGCAGCGCGGGGGCAACCCUGGCGGCGAGUGGCGAACGGGUGAAUAAUACAUCGGAACGUGUCCUGGAGUGGGGGAUAGCCCUGCGAAAGCCGGAUUAAUACCGCAUAAUCUCUAAGGAGCAAAGCAGGGGAACUUCGGUCCUUGCGCUAUCGGAUGAACCCAUAUGGGAUUAGCUAGUUGGUGAGGUAAUGGCUCACCAAGGCGACGAUCCCUAGCUGGUCUGAGAGGAUGAUCAGCCACACUGGGACUGAGACACGGCCCAGACUACUACGGGAGGCAGCAGUGGGGAAUAUUGCACAAUGGGCGCAAGCCUGAUGCAGCCAUGCCGCGUGUAUGAAGAAGGCCUUAGGGUUGUAAAGCACUUUUGUCCGGAAAGAAAACCUCCGUCCUAAUACGGUGGGGGGAUGACGGUACCGGAAGAAUAAGCACCGGCUAACUACGUGCCAGCCGCCGCGGUAAUUC